RNAcentral lists this ribosomal RNA (348 nucleotides) under uncultured bacterium. RNAcentral's name for it is "partial 16S ribosomal RNA". It matches the Rfam family "Bacterial small subunit ribosomal RNA", at positions 338 to 703 of the family's 1533-position model. The record is from RNAcentral.
CCUACGGGAGGCAGCAGUGGGGGAUAUUGCACAAUGGGGGGAACCCUGAUGCAGCGACGCCGCGUGGGUGAAGAAGAGCCUCGGCGCGUAAAGCCCUGUCAGCAGGGAAGAAAAUGACGGUACCUGAAGAAGAAGCCCCGGCUAACGACGGGCCAGCAGCCGCGGUAAUACGUAGGGGGCAAGCGUUAUCCGGAUUGACUGGGUGUAACGGGGGCGCAGACGGCGCUGCAAGCCAGGAGUGAAAGCCCGGGGCCCAACCCCGGGACUGCUCUUGGAACUGCGUGGCUGGAGGGCAGGAGGGGCAGGCGGACUUCCUGGUGUCGCGGUGAACUGCGUAGAUCUCAGGAG